GAUGAACGCUGGCGGCGUGCCUAAUACAUGCAAGUCGAGCGAACAGACGAGGAGCUUGCUCCUCUGACGUUAGCGGCGGACGGGUGAGUAACACGUGGAUAACCUACCUAUAAGACUGGGAUAACUUCGGGAAACCGGAGCUAAUACCGGAUAAUAUAUUGAACUGCAUGGUUCAAUAGUGAAAGACGGUUUUGCUGUCACUCAUAGAUGGAUCCGCGCCGCAUUAGCUAGUUGGUAAGGUAAAGGCUUACCAAGGCGCAGAUGCGUAGCCGACCUGAGAGGGUGAUCGGCCACCCUGGAACUGAGACACGGUCCAGACUCCUACGGGAGGCAGCAGUAGGGAAUCUUCCGCAAUGGGCGAAAGCCUGACGGAGCAACGCCGCGUAAGUGAUGAAGGUCUUCGGAUCGUAAAACUCUGUUAUUAGGGAAGAACAGAUGUGUAAGUAACUAUGCACGUCUUGACGGUACCUAAUCAGAAAGCCACGGCUAACUACGUG
This 497-nucleotide ribosomal RNA is filed under the name uncultured bacterium. RNAcentral's name for it is "partial 16S ribosomal RNA". It matches the Rfam family "Bacterial small subunit ribosomal RNA", at positions 28 to 507 of the family's 1533-position model. The record is from RNAcentral.